GGCACAGUGGUGCAGUGGGUAGCACUGUCGCCUCACAGUGCUGGGCUGGGUUUGAAUCCCGGCCUGGGCUG
RNAcentral lists this transfer RNA (71 nucleotides) under Anguilla anguilla (European eel). Its description in RNAcentral is "tRNA-OTHER". Lineage: Eukaryota; Metazoa; Chordata; Actinopteri; Anguilliformes; Anguillidae. The record is from RNAcentral.